GGGGACUUAGCUCAGUGGCAGAGCGCUUGCCUAGCAAGUGCAAGGCCCUGGGUUCGGUCCCCAGCUCCA
This 69-nucleotide transfer RNA is filed under the name Rattus norvegicus (Norway rat). It matches the Rfam family "tRNA". From Rfam's summary of the family: Transfer RNA (tRNA) molecules are approximately 80 nucleotides in length. Their secondary structure includes four short double-helical elements and three loops (D, anti-codon, and T loops). Further hydrogen bonds mediate the characteristic L-shaped molecular structure. tRNAs have two regions of fundamental functional importance: the anti-codon, which is responsible for specific mRNA codon recognition, and the 3' end, to which the tRNAs corresponding amino acid is attached (by aminoacyl-tRNA synthetases). tRNAs cope with the degeneracy of the genetic code in two manners: having more than one tRNA (with a specific anti-codon) for a particular amino acid; and 'wobble' base-pairing, i.e. permitting non-standard base-pairing at the 3rd anti-codon position. Lineage: Eukaryota; Metazoa; Chordata; Mammalia; Rodentia; Muridae. The record is from Rfam by way of RNAcentral.